AGUGAACGCUGGCGGUAGGCCUAAUACAUGCAAGUCGAACGGCAGCACAGUAAGAGUUUGCCUCUGAGGGUGGCGAGUGGCGGAUGGGUAAGGAAUAGAUCGGAUUCUAAUUUUUCGUGGGGGAUUACGUAAGGAAAGAUACGAUAACACAGAAUAUGAUCUACGGGAGGAAGCAGGAGAUAUUCAGAGCUUGCGCGUUUCUAUGAGCCGGUGUCGGAUUAGCUAGUUGGCGUGGUAAAGGCCUACCAAGGCGACGAUCCGUAGCUGGUCUGAGAGGAUGAUCGGCCACACUGGAACUGAGACACGGUCCAGACUCCUACGGGAGGCAGCAGUAGGGAAUAUUGGACAAUGGGCGCAAGCCUGAUCCAGCCAUACCGCGUGAGUGAAGAAGGCCUUCGGGUUGUAAAGCCCUUUUGUUGGGAAAGAAAAGCUGCAGAUUAAUACCCCGCUGUUCUGACGGUACCCAAUGAAUAAGCACCGGCUAACUUCGUG
This 492-nucleotide ribosomal RNA is filed under the name uncultured bacterium. Its description in RNAcentral is "partial 16S ribosomal RNA". It matches the Rfam family "Bacterial small subunit ribosomal RNA", at positions 29 to 507 of the family's 1533-position model. The record is from RNAcentral.